Long non-coding RNA from Suricata suricatta (meerkat), 274 nucleotides. RefSeq lists it as uncharacterized. The record is from RefSeq and is a predicted model, not a curated record. NCBI's taxonomy places the organism in Eukaryota, Metazoa, Chordata, Mammalia, Carnivora, Herpestidae. The transcript has 3 exons.
GACAGGAUCCACAGAGGACAAACUCUGUGCUAUAAGAAGAGAAAGACAAAAGGGUACCAACAGGAGUUGGGAACCGAUGAGGAAACGGAAAUACAAAACAUCAAGUAACAAGUCCGAGGCCAUCAAAGGUGGGGAAGUGAAGGCUCGAAUCCAGUGAGAAGGUCUGCUGUGGUCCCCACACCACUCUGUCUCCUGUGGAGGACGCCAGGUGGUGGCUGCACUGGAGGUGAGCGCAGCAUAAGGCACAGAGAAGUCCAAUCACGAAACUGAACAC